Molecule: RNA transcript, 1566 nt
Organism: Xyrauchen texanus (razorback sucker)
Lineage: Eukaryota; Metazoa; Chordata; Actinopteri; Cypriniformes; Catostomidae
Gene name: cold-inducible RNA-binding protein B-like
Exons: 7
Source: RefSeq, a predicted model, not a curated record
GAACGUUCUCAUUCUGCCGCAGUCUGUGUUGUGUUCAGCAGCUGUUUUGUGUCCCUGAGAAAAAACGUCGAGUUAAAUCAUGUCUGACGAAGGAAAACUUUUCAUUGGUGGUCUGAGCUAUGAUACCACCGAGCAGUCCUUGGAGGAGGCCUUCUCCAAAUAUGGAACCAUUGCUAAAGUGGAUGUAAUCAGAGAUCGUGAGACUGACCGUUCCAGAGGAUUUGGUUUUGUUACAUUUGAAAAUCCAGAGGAUGCCAAGGAUGCCAUGUCUGCAAUGAAUGGAAAGUCUGUUGAUGGCCGCAUGAUUCGCGUUGAUGAAGCUGGCAAAUCCGGCGGGAGAUCUGGUGGCUUCAGAGGAGGUUCUGGCGGUGGCAGAGGGUUCUUUAGGGGCGGCAGGGGCAGAGGUGGUGGAGGAGGAUACGGUGGAGACAGAAGCUAUGGCAGUGACCGUAGUUAUAGCGGAGGUGAUAGGAGCUACAGUGGUGGGGAAAGAAGCUAUGGUGGAGGUGACCGAUCUUAUGGCGGUGGUGGAUACUCCAACAGAAGUGGAGGAUACUCUGGUGGCGGUGGUGGCUAUAGAGACAACAGUCUUUGAUUUUUAGGAGCACAGGGGGUUAUGACCGUUCAGGUGGCUCCUACAGAGACAGCUAUGACAGCUAUGCUUCACACGAGUAAAAAAAAAUCCUGAUUGCAAGAUCAUCCCUUCGCUGGCUGUAUUUAAAAAGAUGUGCUCUUUGAAGACCUUUUUUUAUUUUUACUUUUUGUUUUCUGGUUCAAGUGUUCUAUUAAAGUACAGACUUUUUUUUUUUUUUUUUUAACCGUGAUUAAAUCAUCCACAAGUUGUUCCUCAUUGAGGCGCUACUUAAAAUCUGAGCAUUCAGUUACUGUAAGAAUUCAAGCCUGUACCUACCAUUAUACCUUGUGAUGUGUAGUAGAUGCUCACAGGGGUUUGAAAUUGUCCUUUUGUUUUCUUUUAGUGUGUUUAAGAAACUGUCUCAAUGCGUAAAAUUGACCUGUCCAACACAGCCUGAAAGCUUCUAAGACCAAUUUCUAUACAAACCUUUCGGCCAAUUCGUAAUUGCAGGCAUUUGCAUUUAAACUGAAUUUUAAAGCGGCAGACCUGCCACCUGAAAGUAUAUUCUAAUCAGAUCCUCAAUAGAAGCUUGAUAAGCUGUGAUGUGCUCUUUACGGCUCCUUGCCACCUCCAUUUUGUGAUGCAUUCCUUUAGUGAAGCAAGGCAGGCAUGUUGUCUCCAGCAAACCUCCUUGAAGUUGCUAAAGAUUUGUAAAUAUUCCUUUUAUACAAAGAGUAAACUACUUCAGUGGGGUGUUAAGCCUCAAUUACAGUCUUCUCUUGGUAACCCAAGGUAUUUUACUCUUUGCAUCGCCUAGAAUUUAUUUUUAAAGUAUGCUCUACUGUGGACUGAACUUAUCCUCUUAAAUGUGUCAAGGUUGUGUUCCUUCUGGAAAAGAAAUGUGCUCUGUUCUGUAUAUCAACACCUCAAAUAUUUUUUCUUUUUGUAUUAAAUCUGGCUUCAUGAAGCCCAUUAAAAAUGGAUGGAAAAUG